Molecule: unclassified non-coding RNA, 253 nt
Filed under: Hevea brasiliensis (rubber tree)
Lineage: Eukaryota; Viridiplantae; Streptophyta; Magnoliopsida; Malpighiales; Euphorbiaceae
Source: RNAcentral
UAAACCUUAAGGGCUAAUUGACUGCAGAAUUUUUUAUUUUUUUUAAGGGCUUAAUUGACUUGGGCCAAAAUGAUUUUUGCUGAUUUUUCCUAGAUAUUAUAGGAGUUUCCAUUAUAAAGAUGUCAUACUCUUAGCGAUNNUGAUGGUAAAAAUCAGCAAUAGAUAAACAAUCCACAAGACACUUGGUUUAACAUAGAACAAUAUAUCCUACCAGUCUAGCAACACAAGUGAUAUUGUACUGUAAUAAUAAAAC